GAUGAACGCUGGCGGCGUGCCUAAUACAUGCAAGUCGAGCGAACGGACGAGAAGCAUGCUUUUCUGAUGUUAGCGGCGGACGGGUGAGUAACACGUGGAUAACCUACCUAUAAGACUGGGAUAACUUCGGGAAACCGGAGCUAAUACCGGAUAAUAUUUUGAACCGCAUGGUUCAAAAGUGAAAGACGGUCUUGCUGUCACUUAUAGAUGGAUCCGCGCUGCAUUAGCUAGUUGGUAAGGUAACGGCAUACCAAGGCAACGAUGCAUAGCCGACCUGAGAGGGUGAUCGGCCACACUGGAACUGAGACACGGUCCAGACUCCUACGGGAGGCAGCAGUAGGGAAUCUUCCGCAAUGGGCGAAAGCCUGACGGAGCAACGCCGCGUGAGUGAUGAAGGUCUUCGGAUCGUAAAACUCUGUUAUUAGGGAAGAACAUAUGUGUAAGUAACUGUGCACAUCUUGACGGUACCUAAUCAGAAAGCCACGGCUAACUACGUG
Molecule: ribosomal RNA, 497 nt
Filed under: uncultured bacterium
Lineage: Bacteria
Description: partial 16S ribosomal RNA
Rfam family: Bacterial small subunit ribosomal RNA
Source: RNAcentral